Molecule: ribosomal RNA, 467 nt
Filed under: uncultured bacterium
Lineage: Bacteria
Description: partial 16S ribosomal RNA
Rfam family: Bacterial small subunit ribosomal RNA
Source: RNAcentral
GACGAACGCUGGCGGCGUGCUUAACACAUGCAAGUCGAACGGAAAGGCCCUGCUUUUGUGGGGUGCUCGAGUGGCGAACGGGUGAGUAACACGUGAGUAACCUGCCCUUGACUUUGGGAUAACUUCAGGAAACUGGGGCUAAUACCGGAUAGGAGCUCCUGCUGCAUGGUGGGGGUUGGAAAGUUUCGGCGGUUGGGGAUGGACUCGCGGCUUAUCAGCUUGUUGGUGGGGUAGUGGCUUACCAAGGCUUUGACGGGUAGCCGGCCUGAGAGGGUGACCGGCCACAUUGGGCCUGGGAUACGGCCCAGACUCCUCCGGGGGGCAGCAGUGGGGAAUAUUGCACAAUGGGCGGAGGCCUGAUGCAGCAACGCCGCGUGGGGGAUGACGGCCUUCGGGUUGUAAACCGCUUUCGCUUGUGACGAAGCGUGAGUGACGGUAAUGGGUAAAGAAGCACCGGCUACCUACGU